UGAAAUUCGGUGCCAGUAGCUGCGGGAAUACGGAGGAGCCGAUCGUGAGCCUGAGUUAAUGGUUUUAAAUGGUGCGUAGAUGGAUGUUUAUGUCAUUUGUGAAAGUUUGCGGCUCAACCGUAAAAUUGCAGUGUAUACUGGAUAUCUUGAGUGCAGUUUAGGCAGUCUGAAUUCGGGGUGUAGCGGUGAAAUGCUUAGAUAUCACGAGGAACUCCGAGUGCGAAGGCAGCUUGCUAAGCUGCAACUGACAUGGAGGCACGAAAGUGUGGGUAUCAAACAGGAUUAGAUACCCGAGUAGUC
RNAcentral lists this ribosomal RNA (300 nucleotides) under uncultured Lactobacillus sp. RNAcentral describes it as "bacterial SSU rRNA". It matches the Rfam family "Bacterial small subunit ribosomal RNA", at positions 496 to 795 of the family's 1533-position model. The record is from RNAcentral. Lineage: Bacteria; Bacillati; Bacillota; Bacilli; Lactobacillales; Lactobacillaceae.